Molecule: long non-coding RNA, 347 nt
Filed under: Capsella rubella
Lineage: Eukaryota; Viridiplantae; Streptophyta; Magnoliopsida; Brassicales; Brassicaceae
Description: long non-coding RNA (CRUB_LNC004271)
Source: RNAcentral
ACACACUGCAACCCGGUAAACCAAGCUCACUCGCUAGAAGAACACCUCUAGAUGAGAAAAUUUUAAACCCUAAUCGCCCCAAACCCUAGGCGCCGCAGAAAAAAACGUCGUGAUAGUGAGUCUUUCUAUUUUAUUUUUAUUUUUUUUGUUUUAUUCAGUCACAAAUUAUUAAUUUUAGAAGACAAAGAAAAUUUAGAAGAUGGGAUGCCACGUCCUUUGAAUCAGAUUAUGGAGGGACCUUCGGUUAGCUAUCCUAAUUAUGCUUGUUUUGUGGAUGGUUCAUGGAAAGAGGGAGAUAAUUUUGCAGGGAUAGGUUGGUAUUGUACGAUGACGAACGAUGUCCCCAC